RNAcentral lists this ribosomal RNA (305 nucleotides) under uncultured bacterium. Its description in RNAcentral is "bacterial SSU rRNA". It matches the Rfam family "Bacterial small subunit ribosomal RNA", at positions 334 to 656 of the family's 1533-position model. The record is from RNAcentral.
UUAACCUACGGGGGGCAGCAGUGAGGAAUAUUGGGCAAUGGAGGAAACUCUGACCCAGCCAUGCCGCGUGAGUGAAGAAGGUUUUCGAAUUGUAAAGCUCUUUCGGAUGUGAAGAUGAUGACGGUAACAUCUAAAGAAGCCCCGGCAAACUUCGUGCCAGCAGCCGCGGUAAUACGAAGGGGGCAAGCGUUGUUCGGAAUUACUGGGCGUAAAGGGUGUGUAGGCGGGAAAGUAAGAUAGUGGUGAAAUGCCUGAGCUCAACUUAGGAACUGCCGUUAUAACUAUUUUUCUAGAGUGACAGAGAG